AUCCACCUUCUGGAAGGCCUGCAACAAGUAGAACACCUGAGAGUGUUGAAUAUGUACGGGCUGCAAUCAACAAAGAUUGGGGACUGACAGUGUGAGAACUAGAACCUGAUCUGGGGAUUCCAAAAGCUACUGUGGAUUGCAAAAACUAC
Long non-coding RNA from Phyllostomus discolor (pale spear-nosed bat), 149 nucleotides. RefSeq lists it as uncharacterized. NCBI's taxonomy places the organism in Eukaryota, Metazoa, Chordata, Mammalia, Chiroptera, Phyllostomidae. The record is from RefSeq and is a predicted model, not a curated record. The transcript is spliced from 3 exons.